GCACUUGGGAAAUUUUUGCAAUGGGGGCAACCCUGAUCCAGCCAUGCCGCGUGUGUGAAGAAGGCCCUCGGGUUGUAAAGCACUUUCAGUGAGGAAGAAGUCCUUGGGCUUAAUACGCCCAAGGAAGGACGUCACUCACAGAAGAAGCACCGGCUAACUCCGUGCCAGCAGCCGCGGUAAUACGGAGGGUGCGAGCGUUAAUCGGAAUUACUGGGCGUAAAGCGCGCGUAGGUGGCUUGAUAAGCCGGUUGUGAAAGCCCCGGGCUCAACCUGGGAACGGCAUCCGGAACUGUCAGGCUAGAGUGCAGGAGAGGAAGGUAGAAUUCCCGGUGUAGCGGUGAAAUGCGUAGAGAUCGGGAGGAAUACCAGUGGCGAAGGCGGCCUUCUGGACUGACACUUACACUGACGUG
RNAcentral lists this ribosomal RNA (410 nucleotides) under uncultured Gammaproteobacteria bacterium. RNAcentral's name for it is "bacterial SSU rRNA". It matches the Rfam family "Bacterial small subunit ribosomal RNA", at positions 351 to 753 of the family's 1533-position model. The record is from RNAcentral. Lineage: Bacteria; Pseudomonadati; Pseudomonadota; Gammaproteobacteria.